UACGUAGGUUCCAAGCGUUGUCCGGAUUUACUGGGCGUAAAGGGUGCGCAGGCGGCCUUGUUAGUCAGAGGUGAAAUCUCACUGCUCAACAGUGAAACUGCCUUUGAUACUUCAGGUCUUGAAUCCAGAAGAGAGUUGUGGAAUUCCGAGUGUAGCAGUGAAAUGUGUAGAUAUUCGGAAGAACACCAGCGGCGAAGGCAGCAACUUGGUCUGGUAUUGACGCUCAGGCACGAAAGCAUGGGGAUCAAACAGG
This 253-nucleotide ribosomal RNA is filed under the name uncultured bacterium. RNAcentral describes it as "partial 16S ribosomal RNA". It matches the Rfam family "Bacterial small subunit ribosomal RNA", at positions 524 to 776 of the family's 1533-position model. The record is from RNAcentral.